Molecule: long non-coding RNA, 425 nt
Organism: Bubalus bubalis (water buffalo)
Lineage: Eukaryota; Metazoa; Chordata; Mammalia; Artiodactyla; Bovidae
Exons: 3
Source: RefSeq, a predicted model, not a curated record
GCCCCGCGUCCAGUCCCCGAGUCCCGCCCCCGCACAGAACCCUGCGUCCAGUCCCCGAGCCCCGCGCCGCCUCGGAGACAAAUGCGCUCUGUUCUCUCUUCUCCAGCAACCCGAGGUCGCGUCCUCCUGGCUCCACCAGUGUGUAUCCCUAAGAGCUGGAAGACAGACUGACCUGCGGAAGGAGCAAAAUUGAUGAAUCAUCUGACCGAAGAUGGCUUGCUACCUGACAUUCUUUGUUGAACCAGGAAGCAGACAGAUGAAGAAACUGCAGCUAGAGGACAUGUGAAAUGUGCAGGUGCCGUGUUCCCAAAUACUGAAUUACAGAACUGAACAGGGAUAGGCCUGUCCUGCCCAGAAGUCUGCUUGUCACCAUCCACGCUGUCCUGCACAUCAUGGGACCUAAUAGACGGAGAUUCCUCGAGACA